RNAcentral lists this ribosomal RNA (404 nucleotides) under Fusobacteriota bacterium. Its description in RNAcentral is "Fusobacteria bacterium partial 16S ribosomal RNA". It matches the Rfam family "Bacterial small subunit ribosomal RNA", at positions 355 to 776 of the family's 1533-position model. Lineage: Bacteria; Fusobacteriati; Fusobacteriota. The record is from RNAcentral.
UGGGGAAUAUUGCACAAUGGAGGGAACUCUGAUGCAGCGACGCCGCGUGAACGAAGAAGGCUUUCGAGUCGUAAAGUUCUUUUAUAUGGGAAGAUAAUGACGGUACCAUAAGAAAAAGCCCCGGCUAACUACGUGCCAGCAGCCGCGGUAAUACGUAGGGGGCUAGCGUUGUCCGGAAUCACUGGGCGUAAAGGGUUCGCAGGCGGCUUUACAAGUUGGAUGUGAAAUAUUGUGGCUCAACCACAAACGUGCAUCCAAAACUGCAAAGCUUGAGUUAAGGAGAGGUAAGUGGAAUUCCUGGUGUAGCGGUGGAAAGCGUAGAUAUCAGGAGGAAAACCGGUGGCGAAGGCGACUUACUGGACUUAAACUGACGCUCAGGCACGAAAGCGUGGGGAGCAAACAGG